Vicia faba (fava bean) is the source of this 213-nucleotide non-coding RNA. The record is from the annotation of a GenBank genome assembly. Lineage: Eukaryota; Viridiplantae; Streptophyta; Magnoliopsida; Fabales; Fabaceae.
AUGUUUGUGUGUUUGGGGAUUUUGAUACGUUACUUUUUUCAAUUUAAUCCCUUUAUUGGGAUUUUAACGAACCAAGAGGAAAGAGCUCUUGUUGGGUUAUUUUCCUUGUUAUUUAGUGUUUUCUUAUUUUUGUUAAUUUUUCUAUAUUUUUAUUUGUUUAUUUUUAUUGUGUCGUUUUUUAAUUAUCAUUGUCAUAAUAUAAUUAGGGAUUAG